UCGGCGAGUAGCGCAGCCGGGUAGCGCAACUGGUUUAAAACCAGUGGGUCGAAAGUUCGAAUCCUCUCUCGCCGAAC
This 77-nucleotide transfer RNA is filed under the name Arsenophonus endosymbiont of Trialeurodes vaporariorum. RNAcentral describes it as "tRNA-Leu". It matches the Rfam family "tRNA". Rfam says of the family: Transfer RNA (tRNA) molecules are approximately 80 nucleotides in length. Their secondary structure includes four short double-helical elements and three loops (D, anti-codon, and T loops). Further hydrogen bonds mediate the characteristic L-shaped molecular structure. tRNAs have two regions of fundamental functional importance: the anti-codon, which is responsible for specific mRNA codon recognition, and the 3' end, to which the tRNAs corresponding amino acid is attached (by aminoacyl-tRNA synthetases). tRNAs cope with the degeneracy of the genetic code in two manners: having more than one tRNA (with a specific anti-codon) for a particular amino acid; and 'wobble' base-pairing, i.e. permitting non-standard base-pairing at the 3rd anti-codon position. The record is from RNAcentral. Lineage: Bacteria; Pseudomonadati; Pseudomonadota; Gammaproteobacteria; Enterobacterales; Morganellaceae.